This 497-nucleotide ribosomal RNA is filed under the name uncultured bacterium. Its description in RNAcentral is "partial 16S ribosomal RNA". It matches the Rfam family "Bacterial small subunit ribosomal RNA", at positions 28 to 507 of the family's 1533-position model. The record is from RNAcentral.
GAUGAACGCUGGCGGCGUGCCUAAUACAUGCAAGUCGAGCGAACAGACGAGGAGCUUGCGCUUCUGACGUUAGCGGCGGACGGGUGAGUAACACGUGGAUAACCCACCUAUUAGACUGGGAUAACGUCGGGAAACCGGAGCCAAUACCGGAUAAUAUAUCGAACCGCAGGGUGCAAUAGAGAAUGAGGGGUUGGCUGUCACUUAUAGACGGAUCCGCGCCGCAUUGGCUAGGUGGUAAGGUAACGGCUUACCAAGGAAACGAUGCGUGACCGAGCUGAGAGGGUGUUCGGCCCCACUGGAACUGAGCCACGGUCCAGACUCCUACGGGAGGCCGCAGUAGGGAAUGUUCGGCGAUGGGCGAAAGCUUGACGGAGCAGCGCCGCGUGGGUGAUGCAGGUCUUCGGAUCGUAAAACUCUGUUAUUGGGGAAGAACAAAUGUGUACGUAACUAUGCACGUUUUGACGGUACCUAAUAAAAAAGCCCCGGCUAACUACGUG